Molecule: transfer RNA, 77 nt
Filed under: Chloroflexi bacterium 44-23
Lineage: Bacteria; Bacillati; Chloroflexota
Description: tRNA-Pro
Rfam family: tRNA
About the family: Transfer RNA (tRNA) molecules are approximately 80 nucleotides in length. Their secondary structure includes four short double-helical elements and three loops (D, anti-codon, and T loops).
Source: RNAcentral
CGGGGUGUAGCGCAGUUGGCUAGCGCACCGCGUUUGGGACGCGGGGGUCGGCGGUUCGAGUCCGCCCACCCCGACCU